CUGAAACAUACUGAACGUUGAGCUAGCUUUUUUGGCUCUGUUUAACGUCAAAGUGAGGGACCGGUGUUACAGCAAUAUAUGCAUACAACGUGUUUAGGUUACGUUUCAAUAAAUUAAAGUUGACGGGGCUGCAUCUGCGGUUCGCAAUUUGGCAAUUUCUCAAAUUUUCUAAAAAUUUUAUAAGUAAUAAGUAUACUAUAUUCUAAAAAUCAUAUUUUUACCCAAAAUGUCUACAUUUAGAUGCAUCACACCCAUAAAUUUAUAAUAAUUGUAAUUUUUGUGCACUAUUCAAAAUAUCCCAUCAAAAAACGCAAAUUUGUUUUGGCGUAUCACUAGGUAUUUGCUUUAGAAACAUAUUCUAAUCUGAAAUUUAAAUAGUCAAUAAUAUAAUUCAAAUACUAAUAGAACCCUUAGACGAGUUCCUCGACUAUCAGAUACCUGAUACUCAGCUAGUUGGCGAGUUAAAAAUAUAUUUUACAUUUUUGUUGCCACAGCGAUAUAAAUUGGCAAGACAAAAAGUAAAUAGGAAAUGUGGAAUUGUAGUCGUGACAGUUUUUUGCGGGUUGAAGGCGAUAAGUCGGCGUGGAAAAUUUGUUGUCGGCAUUUUAAAAUUAAAACAAACCUUAAAAAAUAAAAGAAGGCAUCUACAGUUAGCCGGUUAAUAAAAUAUUCAUAAAUAAGAGACGCUUUAGAUGAGUUCCUUGACUAUCAGAUACCCUAACAUAGAUUGUGGAAUAGGCAAAUUGGCAACACAAAUACCAUAUAAAAAGUAAAAAAACUAUUCAAAAGUUUGGUAGUGUUAUUUUUGGGCGGUUAGUGGGCAUUUGAUUGGUCGUGUCAGCGGUUUAAAUUGAUAUUGUUUUUGGCACAAAAACAAGACUGUACCUAUAGUUAACACUGAUUAAUACUAAUGUUACAUAAACACAAAAAAUGUAAUUACAAAAGAGACGCGAAGUUUUCAGCUCCUUGUUUAGUCGCACAGACGUGUUACAUAAUGUAUGUAAACUAAUUGUAUUUUAUUAUGUUAAAUGUGACAAUCAACGUAAGGAUUCUAUUAUGUAAUUAUUCGAUGCAGCUAAGGCACCGCAUCUUUUGUCGUAUAGAUCUCUGCACAAAUCGUAGUAAUCGUAAUUUGUAUAAAAUAUAUGUAUGAUUUUCCCUGACCACCAGACUGAAUUUAACCAACAUAACAUAAGCAUAACAUAACGUUGCGGCCUAUCGGGAGCAGCAAAGCCGAUUCCCUGGCAACAAGGACAGCGCAACCGACAGCUGAAGCCACAGCUUUUUAGGGACAAUUUAGGUCAACGAACUGGAGGAUCGGAUUAUCGUAGUGCGUGGAGUCUCAAGCAGGCAGAGGCUGUGCAUAUUGUUUGUUAUCUACAAAUUGAGGAAAUGCUCUUUCAAAUCAAAACGCACUGUAUGUGAAGAAGCAAAUAAUACAUCGCUGCUAUUCGUUGUACCACAAAGAAGUACAAGCCCAUCUACGCCAAGAGGCAAGACAUAAUACUGCUAUAACACAAAUCAAUCAGCGUGCGGAGGGAUUAUUUCACGGCAACUUUAAUACAUGUGGAUCAAAUCAGGUGCAUCUUUCUCAUCUUAUUCAGCAGGAGGAAAGUUUUCAACAAACACUUAACAAGUUUUGAGAGAUAGAAGACUACAUGCAAGCUCCGCCACAAUAUAUCAGGGAGGAAGAGCUCGUUAAAGUUAUGCUUUCAAUAGUAUUGCACGCGAGUUGCCACCCCGCCCCCUAAGCCUCCAUGCCUCUGACUAGGAAACGGACAACGGCUUUUAUUAAAGCCUCAAUCCCGCAAGAGCUAUUCAACAAAUCAGACGUCUCAUUCUUAGGAUACAACCGUCACUUGCUUAGCAAGUAAAACGCUAUCACUUUCCACUCAUUUGGAUCCUCGAAUAAUAACUGGAGUAGCCGGUAGAAUGUCCUGCCUGCUAUUUAUUACUUACCUGUACGUAAGAAAAAUGUAAAAAAGUAAACGAAGCAUAAAAUAAAAUGUGGGAAGUAAAUUAAUUGUGAUUCAAGAAAGGAAAA
Molecule: long non-coding RNA, 2044 nt
Organism: Drosophila yakuba
Lineage: Eukaryota; Metazoa; Arthropoda; Insecta; Diptera; Drosophilidae
Exons: 2
Source: RefSeq, a predicted model, not a curated record